AACAGCUCAAAUUUGAAAUCCGGCCCCUCCGCGGGGCCCGAGUUGUAAUUUGCAGAGGGUGUUUCGGGGCGCGGCGCCCGCCUAAGUUCCUUGGAACAGGACGUCGCAGAGGGUGAGAAUCCCGUAUGCGGCGGGCGACUGACGCCCCGCGCGAAACCCCUUCGACGAGUCGAGUUGUUUGGGAAUGCAGCUCAAAACGGGUGGUAAAUUUCAUCUAAAGCUAAAUACCGGCCAGAGACCGAUAGCGCACAAGUAGAGUGAUCGAAAGAUGAAAAGCACUUUGGAAAGAGAGUCAAACAGUACGUGAAAUUGUUGAAAGGGAAGCGCUGGCGACCAGACCUGCCCGCGGGCGAUCAGCCGCCAUUCGUUUUUGGCGGUGAAGUCGGCCGCGGACAGGCCAGCAUCGGUUCGGGCGGCCGGACAAAGCGCCCGGGAACGUAGCUCCCCCCGGGGAGCCUUAUAGCCCGGGCCGCAAUGCGGCCAGCCCGGACCGAGGACCGCGCUCCGGCUAGGAUGCUGGCGUAAUGGUCGUCAGCGACCCGUCUUGAAACACGGACCAAGGAGUCUAACAUCUAUGCGAGUGUUUGGGUGUCAAACCCACGCGCGGAAUGAAAGUGAACGGAGGUGGGAGCCGUCGCUCAGGCGGCGCACCAUCGACCGAUCCAGAUGUCUUCGGAUGGAUUUGAGUACGAGCAUAGCUGUUGGGACCCGAAAGAUGGUGAACUAUGCCUGAAUAGGGUGAAGCCAGAGGAAACUCUGGUGGAGGCUCGCAGCGGUUCUGACGUGCAAAUCGAUCGUCAAAUUUGGGUAUAGGGGCGAAAGACUAAUCGAACCAUCUAGUAGCUGGGUUCUG
This 853-nucleotide ribosomal RNA is filed under the name Koerberia biformis. RNAcentral's name for it is "LSU rRNA". It matches the Rfam family "Eukaryotic large subunit ribosomal RNA", at positions 103 to 960 of the family's 3401-position model. The record is from RNAcentral. Lineage: Eukaryota; Fungi; Ascomycota; Lecanoromycetes; Peltigerales; Koerberiaceae.